Molecule: ribosomal RNA, 253 nt
Filed under: uncultured bacterium
Lineage: Bacteria
Description: partial 16S ribosomal RNA
Rfam family: Bacterial small subunit ribosomal RNA
Source: RNAcentral
UACGUAGGGGGCAAGCGUUGUCCGGAUUCAUUGGGCGUAAAGAGCGUGUAGGCGGCCAGGUAGGUCGGUUGUGAAAACUGGAGGCUCAACCUUCAGAGGUCGACCGAAACCAUCUGGCUAGAGUCCGGGAGAGGAGAGUGGAAUUCCUGGUGUAGCGGUGAAAUGCGCAGAUAUCAGGAGGAACACCUGCGGCGAAGGCGGGUUGCUGGGCCGACACUGACGCUGAUGCGCGAAAGCUAGGGGAGCGAACGGG